RNAcentral lists this long non-coding RNA (248 nucleotides) under Elaeis guineensis (African oil palm). RNAcentral describes it as "long non-coding RNA (EGUI_LNC070995)". The record is from RNAcentral. Lineage: Eukaryota; Viridiplantae; Streptophyta; Magnoliopsida; Arecales; Arecaceae.
UUGGCAUCCCUCUAAUGGCUAUAAAUUGGCUAGAGAACUGGGUGUCUGAUAAAUUCAGAAAGAGUUUUCAAUUUUAUCUCCAUUGCUCUCCUUUCUUUCUUACAACCUAUCUUAGUUUUAGGACAAGGCUUUGGGAUUUAAGACAAAGCCUUAUCUGAUCCUAAUAAAGGUUGUGAGGGUCCUAAAGAAGGAGGAUCAGAAGUUCAAAAGAGGUUCUGAGAGAGUGGAGUCAGUUUCUUGGAAAAACC